This is a long non-coding RNA of Daphnia pulex (common water flea), 960 nucleotides long. RefSeq lists it as uncharacterized. Lineage: Eukaryota; Metazoa; Arthropoda; Branchiopoda; Diplostraca; Daphniidae. The record is from RefSeq and is a predicted model, not a curated record. The transcript has 3 exons.
AAAUCCCCGAGUGAUAAAAAUGCUUUUACAAUGGAAGGGAAGGCAGCUUGCCAGCUUGACAGCUUGACAUUCGCUCAAGUGUCUCUCGUCUGUCAGUGAUUCCAGAUUGUUGACGAAAUAUCGUCUUCUGCUACUUCUAAGUUUCGAUGGCCAUUGAUAAUUGGAGAGCAGCAUUGGAAUGCAACAGCUUUGUCUGGGCUAAAUGCCCUACUAGAUAGAAUCCUCUCGGGAAACUUCGUCUGCUCCUAAGUUUUACACAAUACACAUCACAAGUUACUUCCUAAAAUCAAAACUAAUUUAGAUGAGGAUUUUGAGGUAAGUUGAACCGUUUAUAAUAAAAAACAUUUAUUAGCUAUAUAUCAUUCUUAUUGCAUUCUUGACUUUGUGUUUUCAGAAUUUUAGCAGAUGUUUUUGUGUGACCUAGGUGCUUGUGAGUUGUGACAGUAGAGAUCAAAUCAUUCAAAUGGGUCAAUCCAAUAAUGUAAGCUAUGUCUUCCAAAGCUAAAUAGUUUCUACUGUCAUUUAAUGUUUAUAAUAAUAUGUCAGGUUAACUUCCCCUCUCAAAUCAUACUAAAUCUUUAAAUAUUGAUCCCUUCCCCAGAUCCAAUUCUUUGCUGCUAUCCUUUAAAGACAACAGCAAAAUAAUGCUCCCCACUCAAGAGGUUGUGGUGACCUCCACUAAGUUCUAAUUUAGGACAUUGAUAGAUUUGAGGUUAAUCCAAUCAUCCCUCACCACUCUACAGUUGUUUGGAAACUGACAAGAGAUUACUGGAAUCGAAGACUGUUUAUUUGUGUAGAUGUAGAUUAAUUACGCAAAAUUUCCCCAUGUCUUGAUUGAUAGUAUGUGGAAUUUUAGUAAGCAAACUGUUUGACAGUGACUUAAAUAGCGAUGUUUUGUUAGGGUAAUUUCGGUACAUUCGAACCGGACGUUCUACUUAUUAAAUUCUUGAUAUUAUUAUA